Molecule: long non-coding RNA, 410 nt
Organism: Amphibalanus amphitrite
Lineage: Eukaryota; Metazoa; Arthropoda; Thecostraca; Balanomorpha; Balanidae
Exons: 3
Source: RefSeq, a predicted model, not a curated record
UGGCAACUGUCCAGCGACAGCCAUAGUCUUUCAGCUUAAACGCGACGUGUCGUUCAAAAAUGGUCGUUGGAUAAAAACUCAACUUCACAUUCAGAGCAGCAAUCUCUUGGCACUAUCGGCGGCCGGACCGAUGGACCGCCACGCCGGGAUAUAGUGGGCCGAUAGACGGCCAUCAACUGCGCAUCGCCAGACGACCGAAUGAGUUAUGGAGCGCCAGACACUGCGCGAGCUGAUGCCGGGGGAAGGGUGAAAUGGUGCCGGAAAGACGUGUCUUAGUGACGGUGGGAUGUGCCUUGGCGACUAUGCUACGCAUGACUUGAUGAAGUCUCGACAGUUUUGGACGUUGUGUCAUUGUGGAAUACAGAACUUGGAGAGUCAAAUCGCGAGAUAUUUAAAGACGUCGAUGUCAG